AACAAGCAUGGUGGAGACGAGGGAGGAGUCAGGCCUGUCCACUCUGCAUCCACUCAGCCCUCCACCCCACGCCUCACAGCUCGCCAUGGAGGGGGAGCCAAAUGAAAAAAAACAGCAGCAGCAGCAGCAGCCACAGAUCAACACAAACACAGCAGCAUCAGCAGCAGCAGCAACAAGAGGUGAUGAGAGCCCGAACAGCACACCUAUGACAGCAGAGGGUGAGGACAGCAGGACAGGGGCAGCAGCAGCAACAGCAGAGACCAAACCAGCACAGCAAGAGACCACAGCAGGCACAACAGAAGUAGCAGCAGCAGCACAGCACAGUGAACAACCACAGGAGAGCAGCACAGCGACAUCACUUAGCAUAGGAGGAGGAGGAGAUGGUGGUGGAGGAGAGGGUGAAGGAGGGAAUGUGUUGGGGCAUGAUGGAGUGGUGGGGGCAGUGCUGGAGGUGCUGCGGGCGGACCGGAGGAUAGUGGCAGGUGCGGGGGAUGGCUCCCUGCCCCCUGAGCUGUCUGAGGAGGCCGAGGGAGACCUGCAUGAAAAGCCAGACUGGGUGGACCGCGAUGUGCAGGCACUGAGGGAGAUUGUAGAAGCUGAACCCAGCCUGAACUCCCGCCUGGACAAACCCUUCCUCCUCUCCUUCCUGAGGGCACGCAAGUUUGACUACGACAAGGCAAUGGCAAUGUUGCGAAGUUACUACAGAGCACGGCAAGAGAAUGCAGACCUGUAUGUCAACCUGGUGCCCUCAGCCCUGGAGUCUGUGUGGCCACUGCACCUCCAGACAGUCCUGCCCACACCAGACACCCUCGGUCGCACUGUGCUUAUCUUCAGAGCUGGGGCAUGGGAUCCGGAGUUGGCCAGCCUGGACGAUGUGUUCCGGUCGCAAGUGGUGGUGCUGGAGCAUGUGGUGCGGCUGCCGGUCACACAGCUGAGGGGUGUGGCGGCCGUGGUGGACUGUGCUGGCCUCUCUAUGACACACGCCUACCACCUCACACCAGCACACAUCAGGCGCAUGAUCUCCGUGAUACAGGAGGUGUUCCCGCUGCGCUUCAAGGCUCUACACUUCGUCCACGAGCCAGCGAUCUUUGACUGGGUGUUCUCCCUCAUCAAACCAUUCCUCUCGGAGACCAUCAAGGGAAGGCUACACUUCCAUGGUGAGGACCUGUCUUCCCUGCACCAGCACAUCCCACCAGAGGAGCUGCCGGAGGAAGUGGGCGGCUCAAUGGGGCCUCUUGACAACUCCUUCCUUGUCGACCAACUCUUGAAGAAUGAAGAAUAUUUUAGAGUGUGUGUGUCCAGGGCAGUGCGUCCCACCAGAGCCCCUCGCAGCAAAAAGUGUCGGUCCCUGGUGCCUUUCCUCCCAGUGUGGUGGCUGCGGUAGCACAAGGCACAGAGGGGAGGUGUGGUGGUGGUGUGUGUGUGUCUGUGUGUGUGACCACUUCCAGUAUGGCUUUGAGGCGACACCAGAGCCAGCACGGACAGGUGGUGUGCUGGAGGCUGUCACUGAUGUUGGUUCCCUCCUGGGCAGUUACUACCGGCGGAUUUGCAUUGACUAGUGUUACCGACCUGGCACUGGUGACGACUAGUGCUGGCACCUUGAGAACUUGGUGGAAAUGAGAAGUAGGAGGGAUGGGGUGGGGACUAGUGUGUGUUUGUGUGUAUGUGUGAGUGUGGGUGAGUGAGGCUGAUGUUUGUACAGCCUCCCAAACACUCCUACACUCGCCGAACACUCAAGAGACACACCUAACUUAACCACCCAAAACACUUGACUGGCUUAUGGGAUGGGAAGUGUGUGUGUGUGUGUGUGUGUGUGUGUGUGUGUGUGUGUGUGUGUGUGUGUUCUGGUUGUAAUAAGUAAGCUACACUACUACUACUACUACUACUACUACUACUACUACUACUACUACUACUACUACUACUACUACCAGGAGGGUGGGUGACUAUCCUAUUAAUGACUGUCUGUGCAAUACUCAGGGAUUUAGCAAGUGUCUGUGUGUGUGUGUGUGUGUUUGUCUGUGUGUGUGUGUGUGUGUGUGUGUGACAAAGACUGGUGUGUGUAUGUGUGUAUACUUCCAAGCCAUGUAUACUCAAUGUACAUAGAUGCAGGAAAUACACACAGGGUAAAGUACAUGCAUGCAUGCAUACAUACAUACAUACAUACAUGUCAGUGCAGGGAGAGGUGCAAUACAUACACAAGAUAGGUACUUUUCUAGCAAUAAUAAGUGCGUACAUACAUAUGUGUGCGUGUAGACAAUACUAGAGCAGUGUAUGUGUGUAUCCCAGCACACACACACACACACACACACACACACACACACACACACACACACACACACACACACACACACACACACAGAGGAGAAUGUAAUGAAAAUAAACAUGAACAUUCUUCUUAAGUGACUCGCUGUAGCAUGUAUGAAAGGUGUGUAUAGUAAUGACAUACGUAUAUACAGUACCUCAUGUUCCUUGUUCUCAUUAAAGGAAGAGAUUUAUGUAUGUAUCUAUUAAUUUGUAUAUUUCUCUGUAUAUUUUUUUUUUCAUUUCAGUUCUUUCAUGGUAAUUCUCUCUCUCUCUCUCUCUCUCUCUCUCUCUCUCUCUCUCUCUCUCUCUCUCUCUCUCUCUCUCUCUCUCUCUCUCUUUUCAUGUGAGUGGAAGAAUGGAAGAAAAAAAAGAAGGAAAGUUUGUUAUUGUAAUUCUUUAAGAUAUAGUGUCAGAAUUGAGCAGCUCUCUAAGUGGAAGGAUGUUAAUGUUCUUGGUUAUUGUAAAGGGAGUCCACUUUCCAAAACUGCCCUAAAAAAAGAGAAAAUAAACCUGUGGAACUUCUCUGUCAAGCUCCACCAUGCUCUAUGAAGGCAGUUCAUCUUUCAUAACACACUUUUAUUUUAUUUUAUUUAUUAAUGUUAUGCAGGAGGGAAGCCAGCCAAGAGCAACAAAAUAUUAAAAAAAAGGCCCACGUGAGUGCUGGUUCCCUUAAAAAGUAGUAAAAAAUUAGCCACAAUCAGUGAACAAAUGUCUUGAGACUCUAAUGUUUGGCCUGAAAAGGGACCACAUCUUUCACUCACACAGUUUUUGAGGAUUUUAUUUCAUUUAUUCAUUUUUUUCUAUAUAUAAGAAGCAACUCUGGCAUAGGUUGUUAUAGAAUAUGUGUUGAAGGUAUUUUAUCUGUUUAUUUACUCAUAUUCAUUCCAUUUACUUUAUGUAUGAGGGAAGACUGGCCCAGCACAAGACUUAAGGUUUGAAUGAAGGUCCCAGUCACCCAACACAGAUUAGUCUCUCUCUCUUGUCCUUGAGAAAUACAAAUGCAAUGUAGGAAGGACUUUGUGUGUGUAUGUGUCUGUGUGUCUGUGUAUUUGAGAGGAAAGGAAGGUCUGUGCCUUUUAAGGGGAUAAUUAUACAAGGAGAGACCUUUCCCUACAGUUCAUUAUAUAUAUAUAUAUAUAUAUAUAUAUAUAUAUAUAUAUAUAUAUAUAUAUAUAUAUAUAUAUAUAUAUAUACACUACCCAUAUAUAUUCUGAGAGGCCUUCUUGUUGGAGUGUUUGGUUAAUUUUAAGGGAUUUGAAAAGCUAACCUAAUGUAAACCACUGUACAUAUGUGUGUAUCCAUUAUUGUCAUUGUUGAUGCUCUCUCUCUCUCUCUCUCUCUCUCUCUCUCUCUCUCUCUCUCUCUCUCUCUGAAACACACAUUUUUGCUCUUCUUAUACUAUUAUUGUUCUCUUUUCUCUCCCUUUUCCCUUUCUCUGAGUAUCUUUGAGCCCUUGUCCAGGGUGUCUUAGGUACUCUUGGAUUAAAAGCACUGCCAGCCAUUCUUUCAGCUGUUUUUCUCUCUUCCUUUCCCAUCUGACACUCAGCCCCCUCACAGUCUCACAGUCUGUCUCAAACACUCAUCAGUCAGUGCACUAUCCACCCAUUCCAUCCAUAAAAUUUACCCAUAAUUUAAUUUUUCUACAUUUUUUGCAAAAUUUUCCUCUUUCAUUUUGAAUUUCUAUUAUGUAAUGUGCUAAUUGACAUUUUUUAGUUUGUUUGAAAUAAUCAAGCUUUGUUUUGGUCUGGUUUUAUUAGUUUUUAUUUUACUUUUUCUUCUUUUUGUCCUUAACAUUCAGCACCUCGUCCAGCAUCUCUCUGAUUCACACACCACCACUCACUCUCUCUUUGUGGCUGCAAUUACACGAUGCAUUUUGUUAAGUAGUCUCUUUUCUGCCUUCCCAAACACUCCACACCACACUCCACACCGCACUCCUGCUUCCCAUCAUGCAUUGCUAUAUUCGUUUCAAUCUUUUUUCAUCAUCUGAUAUGUUCUGUUUUCAUCUCGCCUUUGCCUUCUCACACACCGUGACCUUUGUUUACACCCACAUUCCUGCUUCCCAUGCAGAGCUUAGAGGGAAGUGGCCACAACCUCUUCCAUUAAGCAGGAGUUGGUCAUUCCUGUACCCAAUACCCAAUACAAAUGCCCAGGUGUUGUACUACCUAUGAAAGGCUGAGGCAGGUGUAGUGGCUGUCUCACCAAUGUACACUUGUAAAUAUGUUAACUGUAGAAAUCUUUAGCGGUAGGAAAAUAUUACACACACACACACACACACACACGGUACUAUAGUAGGUAAGAGCAGAUAGCAGGUGACUUGUUGGUCGCUACAAGGGUGCUUGUGAUAAGGUGACUUACAGCCAUGAUACCGUCAGACAAGUGAUACAAUGAAAAAAGAAUAAAGAAAGAGAAGAGUGAGUGAGUGAUUGAGGGCGCCACAACAGCCACGGUCACAUGGCGAAAAACACACACACACACACACACACACUAUGGAAGAAGGCAACUGUGAUAAAACAAUUAAGAUACCGACAAACAGACGAACAAACAAACAGGGAGAAGACAAACAGGAUAAAAAGAAAAGAUUGGAUUGUGUGUGUGUGUGUGUAACUACCAUUUAACUCACCCUCAGGCAGUGCAAAUGAGGCUUCCAUAAUUGGCUUGAACAGUGAGAGCAAGAGAUGUGAAGAAUGUUUCCUUGUGACUACCGGGGCCUUUGUCACGUAAGAGAAGAACUGGCCAAGAGCAGCAAAAUAUAUAUGGAAAAAGGCCCAACAGAGAGAGAGAGAGAGAGAGACAAACAGGAGGUGAAAGGAAGAAGCGGAAAGAGGGAGGAACCGUGACAGGGGAGGGGAGGGAAGAGAAAGAACUAAGUCAGGAGAGAGGCAGGCAGCAGUGCAGCACUCGCCACAACCUCAUCAAAACCACAGUGCAUUUGUACACUAAACUAAGCAGAGUGUAAUGUAGAUAUCGUGUUUUAGGCACAAAAUAGUCAUACUACUUGUGACAAAAAAUAAUAAAAAAAUUACUAUAUUUGCAAUCCUAAGUGUGAUAUUUAUACUUAAAAGAAAUAUAUUCAUGGAUAAAUAUUGUCUAUAUAGUUCUUUUCUAUGUCAAAGUAAUAUUAGUGUAUAUUAGGCUCUUGAUAGUGUGUGUGUGUGUCGCAUUAAUUAACUAUCCAGAUUUCAGAUAUACACAGAUAUAUGUAUUGAUAUGUUUACUGGUAUGAUUUAUACUUUAUUAUUUUAUUUUAUUUUUCUCUUAGUUUGGAUUGGUUCAUGGAGUGAUGUGAGUUGUCUGAAUUAGUUGUAGAAGUGUUAACGUUUCAUUCAUAUCAUACUGCUGUGUAUCAAGUUAUGUAUUCUUUGGUUAUGUAUGUGUAUCUUGUGUCUUUGUCAUCGUGUGUGUGUGUGUGUGUGUGUGUGUGUGUGUGUGCGCGUGCGUGCAAGAUUUUAUUGGAGUGUGAGAACAAAUACAGUAUACCAUUGUCUUA
Molecule: unclassified non-coding RNA, 5791 nt
Filed under: Portunus trituberculatus (swimming crab)
Lineage: Eukaryota; Metazoa; Arthropoda; Malacostraca; Decapoda; Portunidae
Description: alpha-tocopherol transfer protein-like, transcript variant X1
Source: RNAcentral